GGGUAAUUAGCUCAAUGGUAGAGCACCUCGCUUACAACGAGACGGUUAUUGGUUCGAGUCCGUUAUUACCCA
This 72-nucleotide transfer RNA is filed under the name Auxenochlorella protothecoides. It matches the Rfam family "tRNA". From Rfam's summary of the family: Transfer RNA (tRNA) molecules are approximately 80 nucleotides in length. Their secondary structure includes four short double-helical elements and three loops (D, anti-codon, and T loops). Further hydrogen bonds mediate the characteristic L-shaped molecular structure. tRNAs have two regions of fundamental functional importance: the anti-codon, which is responsible for specific mRNA codon recognition, and the 3' end, to which the tRNAs corresponding amino acid is attached (by aminoacyl-tRNA synthetases). tRNAs cope with the degeneracy of the genetic code in two manners: having more than one tRNA (with a specific anti-codon) for a particular amino acid; and 'wobble' base-pairing, i.e. permitting non-standard base-pairing at the 3rd anti-codon position. Lineage: Eukaryota; Viridiplantae; Chlorophyta; Trebouxiophyceae; Chlorellales; Chlorellaceae. The record is from Rfam by way of RNAcentral.